UAGCGUUAAAGUUUUGUAUGUGGUUGGAACGUUUGUCUAGGUUUGCCGCUAGGGGCGCUGUUUCAACUGCAUACAAAUUUGCGUUA
Non-coding RNA from Bombyx mori (domestic silkworm), 86 nucleotides. NCBI's taxonomy places the organism in Eukaryota, Metazoa, Arthropoda, Insecta, Lepidoptera, Bombycidae. The record is from Rfam.